This 161-nucleotide ribosomal RNA is filed under the name Amanita oberwinkleriana. Its description in RNAcentral is "5.8S ribosomal RNA". It matches the Rfam family "5.8S ribosomal RNA". Rfam says of the family: 5.8S ribosomal RNA (5.8S rRNA) is a component of the large subunit of the eukaryotic ribosome. It is transcribed by RNA polymerase I as part of the 45S precursor that also contains 18S and 28S rRNA. Functionally, it is thought that 5.8S rRNA may be involved in ribosome translocation. Lineage: Eukaryota; Fungi; Basidiomycota; Agaricomycetes; Agaricales; Amanitaceae. The record is from RNAcentral.
UUUCAACAAUGGAUCUCUUGGCUCUCACAUCGAUGAAGAACGCAGCGAAAUGCGAUAAGUAAUGUGAAUUGCAGAAUUCAGUGAAUCAUCGAAUGUUUGAACGCAUCUUGCGCUCCUUGGUAUUCCUUGGAGCAUGCCUGUUUGAGUGUCGUCAUUAAAUU